GGUCCCGAAAAGGGACCGGUAACCCAGUUCCUCCAUGUCGUUGUUCAGUUGGUUUCGUAAGAUGUUGGGUUAAUUCCCCCAAGGAGCCCACCCCUUGCCAUUAGUUGCUUCAUUCAGUUGGGCACUCUAAUGAGACUGCCGGUGACAAACCGGAGGAAGGUGGGGAUGACGUCAAGUCCUCAUGGCCCUUAUGGGUAGGGCUUCACACGUAAUACAAUGGUCGGUACAGAGGGUUGCCAACCCGCGAGGGGGAGCCAAUCCCAGAAAGCCGAUCGUAGUCCGGAUUGGAGUCUGCAACUCGAGAGCAUGAAGUCGGAAUCGCUAGUAAUCGCGGAUCAGCAUGUCGCGGUGAAUACGUUCCCGGGUCUUGUACACACCGCCCGUCACACCAUGGGAGUGGGUUUCACCAGAAGUAGUUAGCCUAACCGCAAGGAGGGCGAUUACCACGGUGGGAUUCAUGACUGGGGUGAAGUCGUAACAAGGUAGCCGUAUCGGAACGG
This 500-nucleotide ribosomal RNA is filed under the name uncultured bacterium. RNAcentral describes it as "bacterial SSU rRNA". It matches the Rfam family "Bacterial small subunit ribosomal RNA", at positions 1014 to 1512 of the family's 1533-position model. The record is from RNAcentral.